CCUACGGGUGGCAGCAGUGAGGAAUAUUGGUCAAUGGGCGCGAGCCUGACCCCGCCAAGUAGCGUGAAGGAUGACUGCCCUACGGGUUGUAAACUUCUUUUCUAAAGGAAUAAAGUGAGGCACGUGUGCCUUUUUGUAUGUACUUUAUGCAUAAGGAUCGGCUAACUCCUUGCCAGCAGCCGCGGUCAUACGUAGGAUCCGAGCGUUAUCCGGAUUUAUUGGGUUUAAAGGGAGCGUAGAUGGUUUGUUAAGUCAGUUGUGAAAGUUUGCGGCGCAACCGUAAAAUUGCAAUUGAUACUGGCAGUCUUGAGUACAGUUGAGGUAGGCGGAAUUCGUGGUGUAGCGGUGAAAUGCUUAGAUAUCACGAAGAACGCCGAUUGCGAAGGCAGCUUACUAAACUGCCACUGACAUUGAUGCUCGAAAGUGUGGGGAUCAAACAGGAUUAGAUACCCUUGUAGUC
This 460-nucleotide ribosomal RNA is filed under the name uncultured bacterium. RNAcentral describes it as "partial 16S ribosomal RNA". It matches the Rfam family "Bacterial small subunit ribosomal RNA", at positions 338 to 795 of the family's 1533-position model. The record is from RNAcentral.